This 1542-nucleotide ribosomal RNA is filed under the name Escherichia coli O139:H28 str. E24377A. RNAcentral's name for it is "Escherichia coli E24377A Bacterial small subunit ribosomal RNA". It matches the Rfam family "Bacterial small subunit ribosomal RNA". Lineage: Bacteria; Pseudomonadati; Pseudomonadota; Gammaproteobacteria; Enterobacterales; Enterobacteriaceae. The record is from Rfam by way of RNAcentral.
AAAUUGAAGAGUUUGAUCAUGGCUCAGAUUGAACGCUGGCGGCAGGCCUAACACAUGCAAGUCGAACGGUAACAGGAAGCAGCUUGCUGUUUCGCUGACGAGUGGCGGACGGGUGAGUAAUGUCUGGGAAACUGCCUGAUGGAGGGGGAUAACUACUGGAAACGGUAGCUAAUACCGCAUAACGUCGCAAGACCAAAGAGGGGGACCUUCGGGCCUCUUGCCAUCGGAUGUGCCCAGAUGGGAUUAGCUUGUUGGUGGGGUAACGGCUCACCAAGGCGACGAUCCCUAGCUGGUCUGAGAGGAUGACCAGCCACACUGGAACUGAGACACGGUCCAGACUCCUACGGGAGGCAGCAGUGGGGAAUAUUGCACAAUGGGCGCAAGCCUGAUGCAGCCAUGCCGCGUGUAUGAAGAAGGCCUUCGGGUUGUAAAGUACUUUCAGCGGGGAGGAAGGGAGUAAAGUUAAUACCUUUGCUCAUUGACGUUACCCGCAGAAGAAGCACCGGCUAACUCCGUGCCAGCAGCCGCGGUAAUACGGAGGGUGCAAGCGUUAAUCGGAAUUACUGGGCGUAAAGCGCACGCAGGCGGUUUGUUAAGUCAGAUGUGAAAUCCCCGGGCUCAACCUGGGAACUGCAUCUGAUACUGGCAAGCUUGAGUCUCGUAGAGGGGGGUAGAAUUCCAGGUGUAGCGGUGAAAUGCGUAGAGAUCUGGAGGAAUACCGAUGGCGAAGGCGGCCCCCUGGACGAAGACUGACGCUCAGGUGCGAAAGCGUGGGGAGCAAACAGGAUUAGAUACCCUGGUAGUCCACGCCGUAAACGAUGUCGACUUGGAGGUUGUGCCCUUGAGGCGUGGCUUCCGGAGCUAACGCGUUAAGUCGACCGCCUGGGGAGUACGGCCGCAAGGUUAAAACUCAAAUGAAUUGACGGGGGCCCGCACAAGCGGUGGAGCAUGUGGUUUAAUUCGAUGCAACGCGAAGAACCUUACCUGGUCUUGACAUCCACAGAACUUUCCAGAGAUGGAUUGGUGCCUUCGGGAACCGUGAGACAGGUGCUGCAUGGCUGUCGUCAGCUCGUGUUGUGAAAUGUUGGGUUAAGUCCCGCAACGAGCGCAACCCUUAUCCUUUGUUGCCAGCGGUCCGGCCGGGAACUCAAAGGAGACUGCCAGUGAUAAACUGGAGGAAGGUGGGGAUGACGUCAAGUCAUCAUGGCCCUUACGACCAGGGCUACACACGUGCUACAAUGGCGCAUACAAAGAGAAGCGACCUCGCGAGAGCAAGCGGACCUCAUAAAGUGCGUCGUAGUCCGGAUUGGAGUCUGCAACUCGACUCCAUGAAGUCGGAAUCGCUAGUAAUCGUGGAUCAGAAUGCCACGGUGAAUACGUUCCCGGGCCUUGUACACACCGCCCGUCACACCAUGGGAGUGGGUUGCAAAAGAAGUAGGUAGCUUAACCUUCGGGAGGGCGCUUACCACUUUGUGAUUCAUGACUGGGGUGAAGUCGUAACAAGGUAACCGUAGGGGAACCUGCGGUUGGAUCACCUCCUUA